Long non-coding RNA from Bubalus bubalis (water buffalo), 426 nucleotides. RefSeq lists it as uncharacterized. The transcript is spliced from 2 exons. The record is from RefSeq and is a predicted model, not a curated record. NCBI's taxonomy places the organism in Eukaryota, Metazoa, Chordata, Mammalia, Artiodactyla, Bovidae.
AGCUGCAACUCCCCCUUAGGAGGCUCUGGAUGCUCGGCCGCCAUCUUAGCCGCGGAAGGCGCGCGACGAACCCGGAAGCUCGGACCAGCCUCCGGGCCCACUUCCCGGAACUUCCGGCAUGGAUGAAUGAGCUGAAAGGAGAUCGGAGACGGGAGCGAAGCCGGCCCUCCGGGCUGAGAUCCAGCUGCCGACCUGGGGGAAGGGCCACACUAAAGCCCCUUUUUUCACCUUCCUGGCCGGCUCAGAUGUCAUCUACGUUAAGCUGUCUCCCGCCUUUCCUGCCCUGGAGCGGCCAAACCUACACCAUUUGUUUUGAAAUCUUUCUUGCCCCUUCUCUGCACUCACCAAGACAUGAGUUUUUACUGUCUCACAGUACCUGGCGUUAGAAGUGCUCAAUAAAUUAUUACUGAAAGAAAAAAAAAAAAA